Molecule: ribosomal RNA, 324 nt
Filed under: uncultured eukaryote
Lineage: Eukaryota
Description: bacterial SSU rRNA
Rfam family: Eukaryotic small subunit ribosomal RNA
Source: RNAcentral
CAAUAGCGUAUAUUAAAGUUGUUGCGGUUAAAAAGCUCGUAGUUGGAUUUCUGCUGAGGACGACCGGUCCGCCCUCUGGGUGAGUAUCUGGCUUGGCCUUGGCAUCUUCUUGGAGAACGUAGCUGCACUUGACUGUGUGGUGCGGUAUCCAGGACUUUUACUUUGAGGAAAUUUAGAGUGUUUCAAGCUAGGCACACGCCUUGAAUACAUUAGCAUGGAAUAAUAAGAUAGGACCUUGGUUCUAUUUUGUUGGUUUCUAGUACUGAAGUAAUGAUUGAUAGGGAUAGUUGGGGGUGGCUAGUAUUGGCCGGCCAUGGCAGGGUG